Molecule: ribosomal RNA, 484 nt
Filed under: uncultured bacterium
Lineage: Bacteria
Description: partial 16S ribosomal RNA
Rfam family: Bacterial small subunit ribosomal RNA
Source: RNAcentral
AUUGAACGCUGGCGGCAUGCCUUACACAUGCAAGUCGAACGGCAGCGCGGACUUUGGUCUGGCGGCGAGUGGCGAACGGGUGAGUAAUACAUCGGAACGUACCCUGUUGUGGGGGAUAACUAGUCGAAAGAUUAGCUAAUACCGCAUACGACCUGAGGGUGAAGGUGGGGGACCGCAAGGCCUCACGCAGCAGGUGCCGCCGAUGUCUGAUUAGCUAGUUGGUGGGGUAAAGGCCCACCAAGGCGACGAACAGUAGCUGGUCUGAGAGGACGAUCAGCCACACUGGGACUGAGACACGGCCCAGACUCCUACGGGAGGCAGCAGUGGGGAAUUUUGGACAAUGGGGGCAACCCUGAUCCAGCAAUGCCGCGUGUGUGAAGAAGGCCUUCGGGUUGUAAAGCACUUUUGUCCGGAAAGAAAUCGCGCUGGUUAAUACCUGGCGUGGAUGACGGUACCGGAAGAAUAAGCACCGGCUAACUACGUG